This 499-nucleotide ribosomal RNA is filed under the name uncultured bacterium. Its description in RNAcentral is "partial 16S ribosomal RNA". It matches the Rfam family "Bacterial small subunit ribosomal RNA", at positions 28 to 507 of the family's 1533-position model. The record is from RNAcentral.
GACGAACGCUGGCGGCGUGCCUAAUACAUGCAAGUCGAGCGAAGUUUUUCUGGUUCUUGCACUAGAAAAACUUAGCGGCGAACGGGUGAGUAACACGUAAAGAACCUGCCUCAUAGACUGGGACAACUAUUGGAAACGAUAGCUAAUACCGGAUAACAGUAUUUCUCGCAUGAGAGAUAUUUAAUAGUUGGUUAUGCUAACACUAUGAGAUGGCUUUGCGGUGCAUUAGCUAGUUGGUGGGGUAAAGGCCCACCAAGGCGACGAUGCAUAGCCGACCUGAGAGGUUGAUAGGCGACCCGGGAACUGAGCCACGGCCCUGACGCCUGCGGGAGGCAGCAGUAGGGAAUCUGCCGCAAUGGGCGAAAGUCUGACGGAGCGACGCCGAGUGAGUGAAGAAGGAUUUCGGUUCGUGAAGCUGUGUUGUUAGGGAAGAAUGGAUAUGUAGUAACUAUACAUGUAAGAGACGGUACCUAACAAGAAAGCCCCGGCUAACUACGUG